This 90-nucleotide transfer RNA is filed under the name Bdellovibrionales bacterium. RNAcentral describes it as "tRNA-Ser". It matches the Rfam family "tRNA". From Rfam's summary of the family: Transfer RNA (tRNA) molecules are approximately 80 nucleotides in length. Their secondary structure includes four short double-helical elements and three loops (D, anti-codon, and T loops). Lineage: Bacteria; Pseudomonadati; Bdellovibrionota; Bdellovibrionia; Bdellovibrionales. The record is from RNAcentral.
GGAGACGUGCCCGAGUGGCUGAAGGGAGCGCCUUGCUAAGGCGUCGAGCGGUUUACCGUUCCGUGAGUUCGAAUCUCACCGUCUCCGCCA